CUGCUUUUGAGUGAUGUUUAUUCAAUAGCUAGUAACUUCACUUAUUUCAGGGUCUCCAAUUGAGAAACAUGGCACUGUUUUUCCUGCACUCUACCCACCUAUUGCUGGACUUCUGUUGUAACAAGUUGGCAAACUCUGGCUGGAACUGGGCUGCAAUAAAACAUGCCAGUCAUUAAUGCUGACAAGAGCCUAACAAGUGCCAACUUACAGAUGAUUACGCAUUUUGAAUUCUAAUGAACUGUUUUAACCUUCAGGAAGAAUUGUAAAGACCUGUACAUAGCACAACAUGAUCCGGAUAAUAUAUAUACUGUUCAUGUACAUCCAC
RNAcentral lists this long non-coding RNA (325 nucleotides) under Androctonus crassicauda. The record is from RNAcentral. Lineage: Eukaryota; Metazoa; Arthropoda; Arachnida; Scorpiones; Buthidae.